RNAcentral lists this ribosomal RNA (254 nucleotides) under uncultured bacterium. RNAcentral's name for it is "partial 16S ribosomal RNA". It matches the Rfam family "Bacterial small subunit ribosomal RNA", at positions 524 to 776 of the family's 1533-position model. The record is from RNAcentral.
GACGAACCGUGCGAACGUUGUUCGGAAUCACUGGGCUUAAAGGGCGCGUAGGCGGCCGCGUACGUCCGGGGUGAAAGCCCCCGGCUCAACCGGGGAAGGGCCUCGGAUACGGCGCGGCUCGAGGGGGGUAGGGGCAGCGGGAACUUCCGGUGGAGCGGUGAAAUGCGUUGAUAUCGGAAGGAACGCCGGUGGCGAAAGCGCGCUGCUGGACCCCAAUCUGACGCUGAGGCGCGAAAGCCAGGGGAGCGAACGGG